RNAcentral lists this ribosomal RNA (225 nucleotides) under uncultured bacterium. Its description in RNAcentral is "partial 16S ribosomal RNA". It matches the Rfam family "Bacterial small subunit ribosomal RNA", at positions 524 to 748 of the family's 1533-position model. The record is from RNAcentral.
GACAGAGGCCUCAAGCGUUAGGCGGAAUCACUGGGCUUAAAGCGUGUGUAGGCGGGUCGUUAAGUACCUUGUGAAAUCCCACGGCUCACCCGUGGAACUGCUGGGUAUACUGGCGAUCUUGGGCCAACUAGGGGCAACUGGAACAAGCGGUGGAGCGGUGAAAUGCGUAGAUAUCGCUUGGAACGCCAAAGGUGAAAACAGGUUGCUGGGGUUGUGCCGACGCGU